GAAGGCUGCUCACCACCAAUUUCAUCACUGUUGCUAACUCCAGCUCAUCUAAUCUCUGCAACAUCUGCUGCCAGCACCUUCUCUUGCCUCCUUUUGUGAACAUAGUUUUUUCUUCUGGUUAGAAAAUCAGUUCGAACUUCUUGAGUUUUGUGUUUUAAACUCUUCUCAACUGUUCCCAUGAUUGAUGGAUGCCCAGAGGCGACCUCUUUAUCUCCAGCAACAUAUUUGGCUGUUGGCCCGGUAGAGAGGUACUCCAGAAGCUUGCUGGUUCAUCAUGCUCUCACCUUUAACCACAACUAUUUAUCUGACUCCUUCCAUCUCCACAGCACUGUGUGAGGGAUCAGUGAUAAGAGACGGUGAAAGACAUGCGCAAAUGGAUAAAUAAUAAGCAGGAUAUGUAGAAUGACACAACUAUUGGUGGUCUAUCAUUUUGGAGUUUCUUUCCACCUCUGGAGAAUUGCUCAGGAAAUC
RNAcentral lists this long non-coding RNA (471 nucleotides) under Pan troglodytes (chimpanzee). Its description in RNAcentral is "long non-coding RNA NONPTRT015492". Lineage: Eukaryota; Metazoa; Chordata; Mammalia; Primates; Hominidae. The record is from RNAcentral.